AUACGGAGGGUGCAAGCGUUACUCGGAAUCACUGGGCGUAAAGCGCGCGCAGGCGGGCUGAUAAGUUGGAUGUGAAAGCCUACGGCUCAACCGUAGAACUGCAUCCAAAACUGUCGGUCUAGAGUGUGGGAGAGGAAGAUGGAAUUAGUUGUGUAGGGGUAAAAUCCGUAGAGAUAACUAGGAAUACCAAAAGCGAAGGCAAUCUUCUGGAACACUACUGACGCUGAGGCGCGAAGGCGUGGGGAGCAAACAGGAUUAGAAACCCCAGUAGUCC
RNAcentral lists this ribosomal RNA (274 nucleotides) under uncultured bacterium. RNAcentral describes it as "partial 16S ribosomal RNA". It matches the Rfam family "Bacterial small subunit ribosomal RNA", at positions 523 to 796 of the family's 1533-position model. The record is from RNAcentral.